Molecule: transfer RNA, 67 nt
Filed under: Epeorus bispinosus
Lineage: Eukaryota; Metazoa; Arthropoda; Insecta; Ephemeroptera; Heptageniidae
Description: tRNA-Tyr
Rfam family: tRNA
About the family: Transfer RNA (tRNA) molecules are approximately 80 nucleotides in length. Their secondary structure includes four short double-helical elements and three loops (D, anti-codon, and T loops).
Source: RNAcentral
GGUAGAAUGGCUGAGUUGAGGUGAUAGACUGUAAAUCUAUUUAGGAGGGCAAAUCCCUCUUCUACCA